CCUACGGGCGGCAGCAGUGGGGAAUAUUGGACAAUGGGGGGAACCCUGAUCCAGCCAUGCCGCGUGUGUGAAGAAGGCCCUCGGGUUGUAAAGCACUUUCAGUGAGGAAGAACGCCUGGUGGUUAAUACCCAUCAGGAAAGACAUCACUCACAGAAGAAGCACCGGCUAACUCCGUGCCAGCAGCCGCGGUAAUACGGAGGGUGCGAGCAUUAAUCGGAAUUACUGGGCGUAAAGCGCGCGUAGGUGGCUUGAUAAGCCGGUUGUGAAAGCCCCGGGCUCAACCUGGGAACGGCAUCCGGAACUGUCAAGCUAGAGUGCAGGAGAGGAAGGUAGAAUUCCCGGUGUAGCGGUGAAAUGCGUAGAGAUCGGGAGGAAUACCAGUGGCGAAGGCGGCCUUCUGGACUGACACUGACACUGAGGUGCGAAAGCGUGGGUAGCAAACAGGAUUAGAUACCCUGGUAGUC
Molecule: ribosomal RNA, 465 nt
Filed under: Vreelandella stevensii
Lineage: Bacteria; Pseudomonadati; Pseudomonadota; Gammaproteobacteria; Oceanospirillales; Halomonadaceae
Description: partial 16S ribosomal RNA
Rfam family: Bacterial small subunit ribosomal RNA
Source: RNAcentral